AUACGGAGGGUGCGAGCGUUAAUCGGAAUUACUGGGCGUAAAGGGUCCGUAGGCGGUCUGCUUAGUCCGAUGUGAAAGCCCCGGGCUUAACCUGGGAAUGGCAUUGGAUACUGGCGGACUAGAGUCUGGUAGAGGGUGGUGGAAUUCCCGGUGUAGCGGUGAAAUGCGUAGAUAGCGGGAGGAACACCAGUGGCGAAGGCGGCCACCUGGACCAAGACUGACGCUGAGGGACGAAAGCGUGGGGAGCAAACAGGAUUAGAAACCCUAGUAGUCC
RNAcentral lists this ribosomal RNA (274 nucleotides) under uncultured bacterium. Its description in RNAcentral is "partial 16S ribosomal RNA". It matches the Rfam family "Bacterial small subunit ribosomal RNA", at positions 523 to 796 of the family's 1533-position model. The record is from RNAcentral.